UACGAAGGGUGCAAGCGUUACUCGGAAUUACUGGGCGUAAAGCGUGCGUAGGCGGUUUGUUAAGUCUGCUGUGAAAGCCCUGGGCUCAACCUGGGAACUGCAGUGGAUACUGGCGAGCUAGAGUGUGUCAGAGGAUGGUGGAAUUCCCGGUGUAGCGGUGAAAUGCGUAGAGAUCGGGAGGAACACCAGUGGCGAAGGCGGCCAUCUGGGACAACACUGACGCUGAGGCACGAAAGCGUGGGGAGCAAACAGGAUUAGAAACCCGUGUAGUCC
This 273-nucleotide ribosomal RNA is filed under the name uncultured prokaryote. RNAcentral's name for it is "partial 16S ribosomal RNA". It matches the Rfam family "Bacterial small subunit ribosomal RNA", at positions 524 to 796 of the family's 1533-position model. The record is from RNAcentral.